UACGGAAGGCAGCAGUGGGGAAUAUUGCACAAUGGGCGAAAGCCUGAUGCAGCUAUGCCGCGUGUAUGAAGAAGGCCUUAGGGUUGUAAAGUACUUUCAUCGGGGAGGAAAAACAAAACUAAUAAUUUUAUUUCUUGACGUUACCCGAAAAAGAAGCACCGGCUAACUCCGUGCCAGCAGCCGCGGUAAUACGGAGGGUGCUAGCGUUAAUCAGAAUUACUGGGCGUAAAGAGCACGUAGGUGGUUUUUUUAAGUCAGAUGUGAAAUCCCUGGGCUUAACCUGGAACUGCAUUUUGAAACUGAAAUACUAGAGUAUCGUAGAGGGAGGUAGAAUUCUAGGUGUAGCGGUGAAAUGCGUAGAUAUCUGGAGGAAUACCUGUGGCGAAAGCGGCCUCCUAAACGAAUACUGACACUGAGGUGCGAAAGCGUGGGGAGCGAAACAGGGAUUAGGAUA
RNAcentral lists this ribosomal RNA (454 nucleotides) under uncultured bacterium. Its description in RNAcentral is "bacterial SSU rRNA". It matches the Rfam family "Bacterial small subunit ribosomal RNA", at positions 340 to 784 of the family's 1533-position model. The record is from RNAcentral.